UCUGUAGUUGAAGUGGUACAACAGUGGCUUUUCGGGCCGCGGGUCUUGGAGAAAAGCCAAGCAGAAACUGCU
This 72-nucleotide transfer RNA is filed under the name Uria aalge (common murre). RNAcentral describes it as "tRNA-Glu". Lineage: Eukaryota; Metazoa; Chordata; Aves; Charadriiformes; Alcidae. The record is from RNAcentral.